This is a non-coding RNA of Podarcis lilfordi (Lilford's wall lizard), 75 nucleotides long. NCBI's taxonomy places the organism in Eukaryota, Metazoa, Chordata, Lepidosauria, Squamata, Lacertidae. The record is from the annotation of a GenBank genome assembly.
GGAAAGAUCGUAGCUCAGUGGUAGAGCAUCUGCUGUGUGUGCAGAAGGUCUCAGGUUCUAUCUUUGGCAUCUCCA